AGUGAACGCUGGCGGUAGGCCUAACACAUGCAAGUCGAACGGCAGCAUAGGAGAGCUUGCUCUCUGGGUGGCGAGUGGCGGACGGGUGAGGAAUACAUCGGAAUCUACUCUGUCGUGGGGGAUAACGUAGGGAAACUUACGCUAAUACCGCAUACGACCUACGGGUGAAAGCAGGGGAUCUUCGGACCUUGCGCGAUUGAAUGAGCCGAUGUCGGAUUAGCUAGUUGGCGGGGUAAAGGCCCACCAAGGCGACGAUCCGUAGCUGGUCUGGGAGGAUGAUCAGCCACACUGGAAAUGAGACACGGUCCAGACUCCUACGGGAGGCAGCAGUGGGGAAUAUUGGACAAUGGGCGCAAGCCUGAUCCAGCCAUACCGCGUGGGUGAAGAAGGCCUUCGGGUUGUAAAGCCCUUUUGUUGGGAAAGAAAUCCAGCUGGUUAAUAUCCGGUUGGGAUGACGGUACCCAAAGAAUAAGCACCGGCUAACUUCGUGCCAGCCGCCGCCGUAA
RNAcentral lists this ribosomal RNA (506 nucleotides) under uncultured bacterium. RNAcentral's name for it is "partial 16S ribosomal RNA". It matches the Rfam family "Bacterial small subunit ribosomal RNA", at positions 29 to 523 of the family's 1533-position model. The record is from RNAcentral.